Molecule: long non-coding RNA, 1094 nt
Organism: Astatotilapia calliptera (eastern happy)
Lineage: Eukaryota; Metazoa; Chordata; Actinopteri; Cichliformes; Cichlidae
Source: Ensembl
AGGGUAGCAACCACCAUCAAAAUAUAACAGUCUCACCUCGCAGCUCGCGACUCUCCCCGCCUCCGGCCGGACUGUCACUACCCCGCACUCUCUCCGCUUGAGCUAACGUUAGCGCAGCUAGCACAAGUGUCCCUACAGCGACACAACAGUGCUAAGCUACGCAAACAAGCGAGCAGGCACGGCACGGGUAUCCUGCACUAGCCUGUAGGCAGCAAAGGCUCCGGUGGCCACGAAACUGUCUCAUCGACUUCUUCAGUCAACUCCUAGUGGGCCAGUGUGAGGCAGGUUGGUGAAUAAAUUAUUCCAUUCGCUGACAGAGGCGGCAUGGCGGCGCAUCCGGGCUCCGAGCUGUAGCCCAAGAUGACUGGGGCGGAGAUCUCUGACUGGUGGCUGCGAGGCGGUGAGGAGAACUCCCCUCUACGAUAUUAUAAUGAGCCUCCUACUGCAGAGGUGGAAACCAGGAUCCAUAGUCUCCCAAUCUUUUGUAUUUUGUACCUUAGAAUAAAGGAUAAAGAGAUGCUGUGCUGAGGGUGGUGCUAUAGUAUUUGGGAUUUACUGAAGAUGCUGUCCUCUAAUUAUCCAGAAGGGGGAGACAAAACAUGAUUUUGAUACUAUGCUGAGAGUACACCAUGGACUGCAGAUAUUCACCUUGGUAGGAUUUCUUUUAUAUAAGUGUUAAGUCUAAUUGUUGAAUGUUGCCAUUGUGUUUCUUAAAUUUGUACAGUCUUAGUUCAAGCAGUAGGAUCAAAGCCAUUCCUUUGAUCCUGGCCACCUCUCCAACCACUCUGUGCUGGGGGAGGUUUUAUUGUAGAUACAUCCUAUCUGGAAGAUCUGUUUCUUUUGAUGUAAACUUCCUGGGUUUACGACCCUUUGGUCAGCAGGAGGUCUGACACACACACACACACACACACACACACACACACACACACACACACACACACACACACACACACACUCUUACAGAAGUUCACACAUAUACAUAAAAUGCUUUGUCUUAGAACAAAGGGGGCGUGGCUUUGUUCUGACGUGUUUUGUGUGAACUGUCUCCCAAUAAAAGGUAGCAGGAGGAGGUCAGAUCUGGGGGUCAUUUUCGU